Molecule: small nucleolar RNA, 85 nt
Organism: Eutrema salsugineum
Lineage: Eukaryota; Viridiplantae; Streptophyta; Magnoliopsida; Brassicales; Brassicaceae
Rfam family: Small nucleolar RNA Z102/R77
About the family: Z102 and R77 and are members of the C/D class of snoRNA which contain the C (UGAUGA) and D (CUGA) box motifs. Most of the members of the box C/D family function in directing site-specific 2'-O-methylation of substrate RNAs.
Source: Rfam
AAACGAAUACGAUUUGUUUCCCUAUUGGUUUGAUCGCCGAUAUGAUGGCAUCUUACGUACUGUAUUAGCACUAUCUGAUCCAUUC